GGCGGCGUGCUUAACACAUGCAAGUCGAACGGAAAGGCCCUGCUUUUGUGGGGUGCUCGAGUGGCGAACGGGUGAGUAACACGUGAGUAACCUGCCCUUGACUUUGGGAUAACUUCAGGAAACUGGGGCUAAUACCGGAUAGGAGCUCCUGCUGCAUGGUGGGGGUUGGAAAGUUUCGGCGGUUGGGGAUGGACUCGCGGCUUAUCAGCUUGUUGGUGGGGUAGUGGCUUACCAAGGCCUUGACGGGUAGCCGGCCUGAGAGGGUGACCGGCCACAUUGGGACUGAGAUACGGCCCAGACUCCUACGGGAGGC
This 313-nucleotide ribosomal RNA is filed under the name uncultured Propionibacterium sp. RNAcentral's name for it is "bacterial SSU rRNA". It matches the Rfam family "Bacterial small subunit ribosomal RNA", at positions 38 to 349 of the family's 1533-position model. Lineage: Bacteria; Bacillati; Actinomycetota; Actinomycetes; Propionibacteriales; Propionibacteriaceae. The record is from RNAcentral.